Phasianus colchicus (ring-necked pheasant) is the source of this 1618-nucleotide long non-coding RNA. The record is from Ensembl. NCBI's taxonomy places the organism in Eukaryota, Metazoa, Chordata, Aves, Galliformes, Phasianidae.
AUGGUUGAUGGCAGCUCUCUUUAUCCCUGUUACCCUUAUCCUUCUCUAUGGCCUCAUGUUCCUGGUGGCCGGAAUCUUCCUGCUCACCGUGAUCCGAAACCUACGGGUAGAGGAGAUACGAGGGUGGGGGUGACUUGUGGCUGGGGGACUCAUGGCUGGGUGAGUCGGGGUCAACUAUGUGGGACCCCUCAGGAGCGUAACUGUGCCAUGUCCAUGUGCCUACAGGCUGGCAGACGACGCUUGCGGUGGAGGAGAUGGUGGAGGCGAGCAGUGGCACCAGAACCAGGUGCUGAGAGACAGGCAGCCAAACACAGCAGCUCCCAGUGCAAGCCAUGGUGCCCCUGCAGUAAGGCCAACCAGGAGCUCCAGCAGCUGGUCCUGUCAGGGCUGCCUGGGCACAGGUCUGUGCUGGACCCUGACUUCUGGCAGGCGGCCUGGAGGGACCUGGAGGAACUGGUGAAGCAGAACAGCCUGUCGUGCCACUGUUGCAGCUCCUCUGAGGGCCAGGCUGAGGCCCAGGGGCAUCCCAGGAAGAGACAGCAGCACUACCAGGGCCAGCCCAAGGAGUCAGCAAAGAUUCCUUUGCCUCUGUGCUCGGCACCUAAGGAGACAGAACGUCCAAUGGCUAGAGCAGCACUUCCUGGCCCAGCCGAAGCAGCACGGCUAAAGGACAACAGCAGUCAAAUGGGCGCCUCAGAUCUGCGUGUGGCUGACAUUAAAGCUAUCAGCAGGCAGCACCACAGGGCAGUGCCUGACAACAUCUCAAAACUGCAGCUCAGUCAGGUGACUUGUGGGAAGCUUUCCAUGCACACAGACAGAAAAUGCCUGGAGCUAAAGUUUCAACUCCUCCGUACUUCAGCGCGGAGGCCCACAGAACUGCUGCAAAAUUUACAGCCAACACAGGCUGAGCCAGUCUCCGCACCCAAGAGGAUGUGCCUCCUCCAUCCUGACCAGGACAGGAGACAGCAGCGUGGGGCCAAGGCACCGGGAUCCCGCCUGGUCCCCAUGUACUUCUACAGCUGUGAGGCUCGGUUCCUGACUGAGGAGGAGCGUGAGACCCUGGAGCUGCACAUCCGCUCCAUGAAGCUGAAGCACCUUGGCAACAGCCUCAUUUCAGGCCAUCCGCUGCAGUCAGCAGCGUCCUGGGAGAAGGAGUCCACCAGCACAUACGUGACUGCACCAUCUGAGGCAAGCUGGGCUGAGGCAGGCCCCAAAGGACACAAAUGGUGGUCCUGGUGGAAGAAGUGACCUAGGAGAGCAACUGGAGCACCAAAGCAGAAUGCAGCAGUUCUCCACCUGACAGUGUAACAUUCUGUGAAGCACAACAGAAUACCACCACCUGACGCAGCUCAUCAUUAUAGCCCUGCAGUGACCUUGGCUGUGGCUCCAAGAAAUCGUGCCACUCGCACCAUGCCCGGGAUGCUGCAGCCAUACCAACUGACAAGAAGGUCUACGUAGCCUGGGCAAAGAUGUGCUCGAUGCCCUAAAUGCCAAGGACCUCUGACUCUAAGCCCAUCCAUCUUGCCUGUAAGGAGAGGAAGGGCCAGGUUCAGCAGCACCCCUUCUCUUCAAAAAAAUCUUUAUUUUUUAAAAUAAAUAAGUUUAUUUAUUUGUGCCA